GCCUUCGUGGUGUAACGAAAGCACAUUUGGCUCGUAAUUGAGAGGUCCAGGUUCGAGUCUCGGCUAAGGCA
Molecule: transfer RNA, 71 nt
Filed under: Stegodyphus mimosarum
Lineage: Eukaryota; Metazoa; Arthropoda; Arachnida; Araneae; Eresidae
Rfam family: tRNA
About the family: Transfer RNA (tRNA) molecules are approximately 80 nucleotides in length. Their secondary structure includes four short double-helical elements and three loops (D, anti-codon, and T loops).
Source: Rfam by way of RNAcentral